CGAGGAUUAUCGGAUUUAUCCUAUCACGAUAGUUGAAUUAUCAAUUUUAAAGUCCUCGCCGAGGUUCGGACUUUAAAAUAGAUAAUUAUAAUUUAACUAUCUCGAUUGGAUAAAUCUGAUAAUCCACUAGUAUCAAUGUAAUAAUCAAUAUAUAAAUGCUUGUUUAAGACUAAGAUAAGAACAAUACCAGAAAAUUUAUAAAACAAUGUUUACCCUAAAAUAAUUCAGAUUUAGGUACAGAGGUUGGUCAUAACUUUACAGCGUCACUCUUAUCUUCAUUAAAAGGAGGCGAAAGAUACCAAUUUAAAUCAAAUCAUUUUAUUGGUGUAAAAUCCAAAUUUUGGAUUGUUACCAAGACAAACAUGACAAUCAUAACAAACAUAUAAUAUUUAAAUUUAAACAACAUUCAUAUUCUAUGAGACUAUAUUUAGAUGUUUUGGAGGAGGUG
Molecule: long non-coding RNA, 448 nt
Filed under: Mytilus galloprovincialis (Mediterranean mussel)
Lineage: Eukaryota; Metazoa; Mollusca; Bivalvia; Mytilida; Mytilidae
Source: RNAcentral